This 3022-nucleotide unclassified non-coding RNA is filed under the name Hevea brasiliensis (rubber tree). Lineage: Eukaryota; Viridiplantae; Streptophyta; Magnoliopsida; Malpighiales; Euphorbiaceae. The record is from RNAcentral.
GCCAAAUACGCAUUCCCAUGAGCAACUUAUCAAUCUAAUAGAAGCCCAAAUCAAUACACAAAUCCAAGGCCAUGCAACUAUCCAAGCUGAAGCAGUUUCCUGUCAAAGCCCAAACUUGAAAACCAAUACUUCCUAAUUCAGCUAGAGCUCAGUUGGGUAGGUAGCCUAUUAGACCUAAGCCCAUCAAAAAAUUAAAUACAAUAAAAUAAAGAAGCAUUAAAAGCAAAGGUGCUUGAACAAGUCUACGUUGAGCAUCAAAUACUACCAGUCGGACCAGCCACAAACCAUAAAGAUAUUACAACUGUUUUAGAAUGUUCCCCACUAAAUUCCACAAAAAUAUCUUCAUCGCCUACGAGAUAUUUUCCACCUACGUAUUUCCUUGUUUGCCUGAACCACGCAAAUGCAUACGCCACACCACGUAAACAAUCCAUAACCAAUAAAAUUUUUUUCGCAUAUAAAACUUAAAAAGAGUAUAAUAACAAAACCGUUCUGAGCUCUAAAUUUGUCCAAUUUUAUGUUAAAAUAUUACACCCAGCUACCUGCCUGCCUAACUUCUUUCUAUGCUUUUCUCAACAAGCUAAAAACUUCAACCCAGCCACCAGUGUUUUACAAUGCUAUUUCAUCAAAUUUUACCGCUCGUUUUCCCUGCACAAGAAAAUAGAGACUUUUCUCCUUUUCUCAGACGACGACGUUUGCAGUUUCAACCUUCUUUUCUUUGGCCGCUCAUAUUUACAGUUCCACCACCGUCUAGGGGUAGUGCAACUUUUCAGUCUUCACAAAGGACAAACGGCGGCGACUAUUCACUUUCCACGUAAGGCAAAUACAACUUCCAGAAGGAACUAGAAUGAAUCGUCCCACAAAUGACGCGUGUCUUUCCGCCACCUUCUCAUCUCACUCUCAUCGCAAUCGUUUUCUGUGGUAGCCACAUCUUACGUCACCACCCACUGUCCAUCUCCAAGCUCUCAUCAGAUAAUAAAUAUCCAAUCACCAAUCACAAAUAUUAAUCAUCAUUUCCCCAGCUCUAGCCACAACGGGUCGUCAUGCUCACUGUGCCCAGUCUUUCCAUCCAACGGCUCUGAUUUUACGUCGCACACAGGCUCAUCCUCCUGUGAUUGUUGUUGAUACUUACUCCCUUCUUGUUCCUCUUCCUCCUCCUCACCCCUUCUCACGCGCUUAACCCCAAUCGACACACCAAACAGCUUUGGGCUUACUCCCUCCUCUGCCGUCGCCGUCACAACUGCCUUUGUGCCACCACUAAUGGCCAUCUCAUCCGCCCGCGUCACCACCUUCGUCGAAGGCAACAAAUCUAAAGGCUUCCCCUCCGGCAAAUUGCUAUGACCAUCCAAUUGACCAGAGGCGUAAUUAGUCAUCAAUGCAACUAUAUUAUUACACAAGCCCUUCAACUGAGUUAACUCCUCUCUCAACUGCGCAUUUUCUUUCCUCAACCUCUCGUUCUCUUCCAGAAGCUCCGGUGUCGUAGUACAGUUUGUUGUUUGGAGAUUCGGAGUAGCACCCUGUGUUGUCGCCGGCGACGAAUUCGAUGAAAUUACUUGCUCGUCGGCCGAAUUCGCAGGGGAAACCACACGUGCCACCGGCGGAAUUGCGGCAACGGUUACCGUAGCUGCAGCUGCUGCCGUAACCCCUGUCGGAGAGAUUUUCCGCCGCUGAAUAUCGCGAAGUAAUCCUUUCUCUCCUUUCUUGAAGCAAUCGUUCGCAAAUUCCCAUCGAUCCGGCACUACCUUUCUAAAUCCCUACAGAAUGAAUCAAAAUAUAUAAGCAGAUGAAACAAUAUCCUUAAAACAGCAGGCACGUCAAUAAAAUCCAACACCAAUUUUAUUCAUUUCUUAAAGAGAGAAAUCGUAUAUUGAGAAAGAGACUCACGUAGGUGUUGAGCUGGCGAACAAAGCUAGAGAAGUUGUUGUGUUUGAAGUACUUGGGGAGUAAGUCCCUUGCGAAUUCAGCGGGGCGCCAGACGAUGAAGGUCGAUCCGUCCUCGUUCCACGAAAUCAGGUCAUCGACGGAAGGAUCAUCGACAAGCUGAUAAGUUUUGGUGAGAAAUGGAGUUGGGAGAGAUCUCUGAGAGUCUCCUCCCGCUCCUCCGGUGGCGUGUGAUUCGCCGGUUUGUUCCACCAGCAAUGGCAUCAGGGUUCGGUCUUAGAUCCGAACCAUAAAAAACAGGCAGCUAUUCGUGACAGAUUCUUUGGCGUGCCGGGUUGAACUAAGUUAUCAAACUCAUAUAUCAGAUCCAACAAAAUAACUGAAAUUGAAAAAUGAAAACACAUAUGAUAUAAAAAUAAUAACCAUCCGUUUGCGUUCCAAGAAAACCAAAGAAAAGUUAAAUCAUUAAAAGGAACCGAGAAAAUCUACUUAAGCGAAUCAAAUUUAACAGCUAAACUUAAUUCGCAGAUGCGUUACGCGUUAAACGUAAACUGAAACAGCCUAGAAGAAUAACAGUUAAAUUAGGAACUCUUAACAAAGAAAAAAAAAAUCAUACCUGAAAGAAAACAAUCACGAAUUCUUUCUGCUGACAAUAAAAGGUGAGAUUUUCUCAGCAAACAAACAAACAAAGAGACAGAACCACGUGUGUUACUAAACUGUAAGCCCUAGCUACCACCCGCCACCGAGCAAAGGGCCAUCGCCUUACACAGAGCGACGCAGCAUGUUGAUCUCGCAAUAUUCACAGGAGAAAGAGAGAAAAAAGAGUUAGGUUUUGUUGUUUCUGGAAGCUUCUGGUUGGAGUAAAAUGAUAAGGCGAGAGAAAGAGAAAUCGUGAGUUCCAGAAGGAAAGGGAAAUAAAAAGAAAUCUUUUUUAAAACAAAGAAUUAGAAAAGGGCAAAUGGAUAGGACCCACACACAUCGAGAAAAGAGAGGAAGGCACAAGAAGAGUUUAGGACCCUUCUCCGAUUGAGAUUAUGAAAAUAAAUAAUAUUAUUAAAAAUAAUUUUCCAAUAACUAUUUUAAUAAUAAUAUCAAAUACAACGAGAAGACAUCGUUUUUAAGGUUGGAUUUUUAAGAAAUACUA